RNAcentral lists this ribosomal RNA (253 nucleotides) under uncultured bacterium. Its description in RNAcentral is "partial 16S ribosomal RNA". It matches the Rfam family "Bacterial small subunit ribosomal RNA", at positions 524 to 776 of the family's 1533-position model. The record is from RNAcentral.
GACAGAGGGUGCAAACGUUGUUCGGAAUUACUGGGCGUAAAGCGCGUGUAGGCGGCUAAGUGUGUCGGGCGUGAAAUCCCACGGCUCAACCGUGGAAGUGCACCCGAAACUACGUAGCUAGAGUCCUGGAGAGGAAGGUGGAAUGCUUGGUGUAGAGGUGAAAUGCGCAGAUAUCGGGAGGAACAUCGAUGGCGAAAGCAGCCGCCUGGGCCUGAACUGACACUGAGACACGAAAGCGUGGGGAGCAAACAGG